This is a long non-coding RNA of Nematostella vectensis (starlet sea anemone), 892 nucleotides long. RefSeq lists it as uncharacterized. The transcript is spliced from 2 exons. The record is from RefSeq and is a predicted model, not a curated record. NCBI's taxonomy places the organism in Eukaryota, Metazoa, Cnidaria, Anthozoa, Actiniaria, Edwardsiidae.
AGGACCUCUACAGACAAACUAGGUAGAUUUUACUUAUCCCUGUUGUCAGGAGUGUCAGGGGUGUCAGGACCUCUACAGGCAAACUAGGUAGCUUUUAUUGAGCCUAGUUGUCAGGGGUGUCAGGACCUCUACAGACAAACUAGGUAGAUUUUAUUGAGCCUAGUUGUCAGGGGUGUCAGGACCUCUACAGACAAACUAGGUAGAUUUUAUUGAGCCUAGUUGUCAGGGGUGUCAGGACCUCUACAGACAAACUAGGUAGAUUUUAUUGAGCCUAGUUGUCAGGAGUGUCAGGGGUGUCAGGACUUCUACAGACAAACUAGGUAGAUUUUACUCAUCCCUAGUUGUCAGAAGUGUCAGGGAUGUCAGGACCUCUACAGACAAACUAGGUAGAUUUUACUCAUCCCUAGUUGUCAGAAGUGUCAGGGAUGUCAGGACCUCUACAGACAAACUAGGUAGAUUUUACUCAUCCCUAGUUGUCAGGAGCGUCAGCAUCUCUAAAAAAAACUAAUAGAUUUCAUUCAGCAUUAUUUGUGAUAUAAAAAAAAACUUAGAAGCAAACUCACACGCCUAUUUUAUUAAGGCAAAUUGAUUACAAACUGUUUUAGGUUGCAUAGAGUUCAUGUUCACUGUAUACCUCAAUAAUAUUAUCAUACCUCCAAGUGAUAUCCGGAAUUUGAUACAAGUUUCUGAUAGCAAAAGCUAGUAUACUUCCUUGACGUUCUUACGGGUUUCCUGUGGUGUUAAGGGUUCCCUGUGAAAGAUCGCCUCCAAAAAGCCGGUGUUCAUCAAUUAAUCCCAACAAAUCUUGCAUGGUAUCAAGAUACAGCAACUUUUUCAACAUUAUCAUAUCUACAUUAGCUUUGCAGUUACAAGAGAAUUUUCUCAUCUAAAA